ACGGUGACAGUUAAUACCCUAUUCCGUUCAGGGGUUCUGCAUUCUGCAGGUCCUGUUUGCAGCCCUUUUCAAGCCCAUUUCUUUCUGGUUGAGCCGCUGUUUCCUCUUUCAUGGUUUUCACCUCAUGAUCUCCAACCUCAGCUCCAAAUGUGGUUUGUCUUCUCCCCCAUCAUCCCAUCUUAUGGCUGUAAUUCACAGUGGCAUGUGUUAAUUACACCCACGCAGAGUUGUUUAAGGGCAUGCUGGGCAUCAUUAUCAUGUUUUAAAUUAUGUCCUCUCUUCUGGUCUCAGUUUGCAGCUCAGUGGGUUUUAAGGAUUGUUGGGACUCCUCUAAUCGGUGGUGUGAGGCCUGUGGAGCAGCUAAUGGAACAUCACGACUAUGCUGACUUCCCCAGGGUAUUACGGUCAUUUCUGUCUCACCAGCAGAUCUGGGUUUGUGUUAAUAAAAAAGAAAGGGUUGUCCUCUUCUGGAUGACUACAGUCAGGAUCUCCAGAUAUCUCAUCCCAAUUGUCAGGAGAUGCUAUUUGUUUCCUAAUCUGUAUGAUACCCAAACCCCCACACCUUUUCCUCCCAUCCCCUGACCCCCAUUAAGUAACUUAUAAACAGCAUUAAUUAUAUCCCUAAUACUCCCUUGCGUCAUCCUAUAGAGCAAUGCACGCAGGGUGCAGCCCUACAUAUGCGGGGCAGCGCCUUCAUUCCUGCAUUGUGUCCAACAGGUGGCAGCAGAGAGCUGCAGCGCUCCCGAGUGCUGUAAGGACUGCACGGAGAGACGUGCGGGUCUUCACGGGAACAGCCAGGAACCGAAAGCUGCAUUUCCCGGGAUGCCCUGGAGCUCCACUUUGCUGACUGGUAAUUGUCUGCCCAGCAGGUAAGGACAAUGCACACCCACCAGUGUUUACCCCUUACUGAGUGAGACACAAGGUAGGGUUCCCAGAGCUCCUUUCUGCACUUCAGGGUUCCCCAAAGGCUGCCCGUCCUAUUCUUUGCACGUUCUCCUUGGCUCUGGCCUUUCACGGUGGUGUUCUCCUUCCCUUUGCCCUUGGCGUUCCCUACUACAUUCUCUUGUCCUCUUGUUUUUGCAUUCCUUGUCAUGUUCUCUUGGCCAUUGCCUUUGGCCUUCUUUGCGGCAUUCUUUUUGGCCUCCGGUUUUGGCAUUCCCUGCUGCGUUCUCUUUGGCCAUCACUUCUGGUGUUCCAUGCAGUGUUCUAUUUGGCCUUAUGUUUUUGCCAUCCAUGCCACGUUCUCCUGGCCAUUGCGUUUGACCGCCUUUGCCACAUUCUCUUUGGCGUUGCCUUCCAUGUUCUCUUUGACCUUUGCCCUUGGCCUUCUUUGCCGUGCUCCUUUCAGCCUCCUGUCGUGGCAUUCUCUGCGACGAUCUCUUUGGCCUUUGGUUUUGGCAUUCCUUGUUGCGUUCUGUUUGGCCUUUGCCUUUGGCCUUCUUGUUUUGGCAUUCCCUACAGCGUUCUCUUCGGUCUUUGGUUUUGGCCUUCUGUGCUGCAUUCUCUUUGGCCAUUGCCCUUGGCCUCCUGCAUCGGCCUUCCCUGCAGCGUUCUCAUGGACCUCGCCCUCCAUUUUGGCCUUGCCACGGUGUUCUCUUUGGUCUCUGUUUUGUUCUCUGAGGCCCUCUCUUUGGGCCUGCCCUCUGAGGAGGUCUUCUCUUUGGUGUUCUCCAUACCUUUGCUUUCACUGUGCCUUUGACGUUGCCUUCCCUUGGUUGUUGUCUAUGCCUUUGCCCUCGGUUUUGGUGUUCCCUCGGGUGUUGUUGCCUUUGCCUUGGCCUUCCCUACCAGUCCCUUUGAGCAUAACCCUAAUAAACCUAACCCUUAUACCUUCACCCCAAUCCUAAUGAGCUCUGAACUCCAAACAUAGUGCUAAUCUGAUGCAACACCCUCAGCAAACUUACCAAAGGUGCACUCCAUGCCAUCAGGCAGGUCUUCAAUGAAGAUAUUGGACAGAACAGGCCUGAAGAGCACUCAGGAUGGCAUACCAGCUGCAUUUAACACGAUGGAGCAGCACUCAUUAGGCCAGGCGGUUCAGCUACUUCUUCAUCUAGCAAGCAGCGUACCCGUCCAAGUAGCCGGCUGCAAUCUUUCAGAGAAUUUUGAGGGAUAGCACAUCAAAGGCUUUGCCUCACUCAGGGGGUUGGGUCACCUUCGCUUUGAGAUUGCUAGCGUGGCUGACCCUAAUCCCGUAACUGACAUCCCGUAGCUGGACAGGGACCAUUCGCACUCCAUCCAGGCUGUUUGAGACUCACGGCCAUGCUGAGAGUCACACUGAUUUCAGCGCGUGCAGUCAUUUUGCAUCAACCCAAUUGGCUUUAGCUUUACAAAUAAUUUAUCUCAACCAAAUUGGCUUUAGCUUUGCAGUUAAUGCAUUGCAAAUAAGUUGGCUUUAGCUUUGCCUUGCUUACGGGGUUGGGUUAGCUUUGCUUUGUUUGUUUGUACCGCAGGGCUAACCCAACCCCGUAACCAACGCCCGAGGCCUUCGGAGCCCAUUUGCGCUCCUUCCCGGCCAGUCUGAGACUCGCGCCCCUUUGUGGCCAUUCUGAGAGUUGUGCCGAUUUUGGCAGGUGCAGUCAAUUUGUCUUGCCCAAAUUGGCUUUAGCUUUGCAAUCAAUUGAUCUCAGCCAAAUUGGCUUUAGCUUAGCCUUGCUUACGGGGUUGGGUUAGCUUUGCUUUGUUUGUUUGUACCGCAGGGCUAACCCAACCCCGUAACCAACAGAGCCCAUUUGCGCUCCUUCCCGGCCAGUCUGAGGCUUGCAUUUACUUCAGGUGGGCUGAGAUGUGCUCUGCUCUUGAGGUGGGUUGCAGUACACAAUAUUAGUGUAAAUGUAAUGUUAUUUAUUGGAUAUGGAGGCUUUGUGACCUUUGUCUUGUGAAUCGGACAUAUGUGUUAUAUGUAAACCAUGCCUUAAAAUGUAUGGAGUGCGCGGGUGCUGCGCCUGUAAACGGUGUCUUGCAAUUGUAUGGAAUCAGUGUAUUCAUGUUUUGUUUGUCAACAUGUAGGCAUUGCUGUAGUGUGCAUACAAUUGUAUGAGUCAUGUCUUGAGGAAACAGUGCUGUAAUGAACAAAUACUUGUGCAAUCUAAUUCAGUGGUGUGCCUUGAUUCAACAUUACCAGGUCACAGAUCCCACUUGAAGCUAAGUGCAACAGGUAGGUGUGAAGGUAAGGUAGACUGUGAGACAUUGGGUUAGACUUAGGUGUUAGACUUAGGGUUAGGGU
This is a long non-coding RNA of Gallus gallus (chicken), 3223 nucleotides long. The record is from Ensembl. Lineage: Eukaryota; Metazoa; Chordata; Aves; Galliformes; Phasianidae.